Molecule: ribosomal RNA, 253 nt
Filed under: uncultured bacterium
Lineage: Bacteria
Description: partial 16S ribosomal RNA
Rfam family: Bacterial small subunit ribosomal RNA
Source: RNAcentral
UACGUAGGGACCAAGCGUUGUUCGGAUUUACUGGGCGUAAAGGGCGCGUAGGCGGCAAUUCAAGUCAGCUGUGAAAUCUCCGGGCUUAACUCGGAACGGUCAGCUGAUACUGCUUUGCUAGAGUGCAGAAGGGGCAAUCGGAAUUCUUGGUGUAGCGGUGAAAUGCGUAGAUAUCGGGAGGAACACCAGUGGCGAAGGCGACUACCUGGCCUGUUCUUGACGCUGAGGCGCGAAAGCUAGGGGAGCAAACGGG